CUCAGAUCAGGAAGAGUCGGACCGCGAUAUUUUCGGUCAGUCAUCCUAAAUAUUUGGAUAUUCGGUCGCAGAUUCCUUGUAUCGGCUAAGGUGAAUUUUGUUUGAAAAUCCGCUGCGUAUAUUUCGGAACAUUAAAUCGUGGGCCUCGGUUAUCGUAUUUGUGUGAGUUUUUGGCUGACCUCUUCACGAAUUUUCCUUAAAAUCUACCGAAGAAAGAAUCAAUCACGUCAACAAACAUUACCAGGUGAUCUUGAAAUCACAUGCGAGUUAGAGAUCGUGAAGCAACGCGAUCGGACUUCGUCGAGGAGGUGCCGAUAUCUGUAGACUAUGUGGAUUGCUGAGAUCGAGAGGCAACACGGUCGGGCUUCGUCAAGGAGGAAGGGAUGUAAGUAGAAUCUUCAUCAAUAUGGAAAUUAACGCAGCUCUCUUCUCCCACCAAGUAGUAAGUGAACAUUCAGAAUACUAUUUCCUUUUUUAUUACGUAGAAAAUGUAGAAAUUUUUGACGAGUACAGUGACCAAAGAAUUGCCCGGCAAUCCUUUGAGUGGUAAUCUGUUUCCUAGUUAGGUAGGGUCUUUUUGCAUGUCGUGAUUUCCUGCGAUUGUUUCAGGUUCUAAUGAUUUUAUUUCGAAACUGCCAAAGAAUUAAUCUUAUACAAUACGCGAUUAUCAUAAUACGAAUGUUAGAAAAAUUAAAUUGGUGCAUUUGCUGCAUCAGUGUAUCGAAUAACUUUGUGUUCCGCCUAAUUACAUUAGAGACCACGUGCAAAAAGACGUUUCCCAGUAGGUAUAAAUCGUAUUUUAUUAAAAUCCAAAAUAAUAGAGUUUCUUAUUCGUUACGAAAAUUCUUAUUAAACGUUUUUGAAAUUAUUUUUAUGAAAUUAUUAUUAAGUAGACACAUUUUUCAAUGAAUUGGAAGAAUCUUAACCCGAGAAACUAACGACUCUUUUUAGAUAGGAUUUUCAGAGAUCCGAGGUUCCAUGUUCGUUGCUCGAAUCCUUCCGAGUACCCAAGCGUUACUCGAGAGGGUGCGAGCAAUGGCACAUGGAACGGUAUUUAAUAAUAAUAGCGACUGACAAUGACUAGCGUAUCGUACACGACGUAAUUUUCACUUGUGUGUGUGUGGUUAGGCAGUGGAUUUUACGUCGUUUUUUGAAAUCGAAACUAGUUCAAAUCGAAUAUAUUCUAUGUAUACGAUCCAUGUCAUGCAACGUGGAUCGGUAUGGAAUAUAUGCACAGAAUGCACAUAAUGUUCAUUUUCUAUUCUUAUGGGAGGAAAUUAAUGAAUAAAAGCUCACAAGAGUCUUGAUAAAUUCAACUUUACCGAUAUGGUAUUUAUUCAGAAAUACCAUGAAGAAAGUAACUUUCGAUUAGAAUUUGAUUAAAUCGCAAUGAUCGCUACGAUUGUCAGUCGAUUUCAGGAACUAACGUAUAGCUUAUAACGGAAACGAAUGAUUAUGUUGGAGUGCAGAGGCGUCCCGGGACGUUCUCCGUGUAGGAAACAGCACCUCAACGUAUGAGUGAGAACCGUGGAGUGAAUGUGUUGGUGUGAUCGCUUUGCUAUUUUUUAAAUAUAGCAUUAGGCAGGAUAGGUAACUUGCUUUCACGGAGUGUGUGAAUUGUUAGGUAGGGCUGGGGCUGACUAUCGUUCUCUGUUCGGGUAGAUCGCGAAUC
Megalopta genalis is the source of this 1672-nucleotide non-coding RNA. NCBI's taxonomy places the organism in Eukaryota, Metazoa, Arthropoda, Insecta, Hymenoptera, Halictidae. The record is from RefSeq and is a predicted model, not a curated record.